GUGGGGAAUUUUGGACAAUGGGCGCAAGCCUGAUCCAGCAAUGCCGCGUGCAGGAAGAAGGCCUUCGGGUUGUAAACUGCUUUUGUACGGAACGAAACGGUCCGGGUUAAUACCCUGGGCUAAUGACGGUACCGUAAGAAUAAGCACCGGCUAACUACGUGCCAGCAGCCGCGGUAAUACGUAGGGUGCAAGCGUUAAUCGGAAUUACUGGGCGUAAAGCGUGCGCAGGCGGUUUUGUAAGACAGGCGUGAAAUCCCCGGGCUCGACCUGGGGAUUGCGCUUGUGACUGCAAGGCUGGAGUGCGGCAGAGGGGGAUGGAAUUCCGCGUGUAGCAGUGAAAUGCGUAGAUAUGCGGAGGAACACCGAUGGCGAAGGCAAUCCCCUGGACCUGUACUGACGCUCAUGCACGAAAGCGUGGGGAGCAAACAGGAUUAGAUACCCCAGUAGUCC
Molecule: ribosomal RNA, 450 nt
Filed under: uncultured bacterium
Lineage: Bacteria
Description: partial 16S ribosomal RNA
Rfam family: Bacterial small subunit ribosomal RNA
Source: RNAcentral